Molecule: microRNA, 20 nt
Filed under: Fragaria vesca subsp. vesca
Lineage: Eukaryota; Viridiplantae; Streptophyta; Magnoliopsida; Rosales; Rosaceae
Description: fve-miR11304
Source: miRBase by way of RNAcentral
UAGUGUUUCAGCUUGACAAG